GUGCUCACUUUUGGCAGCACAUAUACUAAAAUUGGAACGAUACAGAGAAGAUUAUGGGCCCCUGCACAAGGAUGACACAUAAAUUUGUGAAGCAUUCUAUAUUUUU
Molecule: small nuclear RNA, 106 nt
Organism: Ictidomys tridecemlineatus (thirteen-lined ground squirrel)
Lineage: Eukaryota; Metazoa; Chordata; Mammalia; Rodentia; Sciuridae
Source: Ensembl